AGAGAUUUGUUAUUCUGGGGAACAAAUCGACAAACAAGACACACAUUGAGAAGACGAUAUUGUGAAUGUAAAACACCUCAUAGAAAAAGCACAAUGUCUUCAACUUGCUCUCAGCUCAGCUUCAUUAGCAGAGUACAGAACAAGAGAACAUCUCCAGUAAUAAGUCACUGGCGUGAUUCUGGUCUGGGCCAGUAGCGGGUGAUGGGGGAUGCAGAAGCAAAACCUGCGUUUGCAAUCUUUGGCUUAGAAACUGGUGAUAUCAUCGUUAAAAGACUGUUGCAAUAACUAAAACCAACCCCACUGGCAUCCGCAUCAGGGAGGCAAAGGCUGAGGGACUAAGAGUGAAUAAUUCCUCUGCACUUCAGAGAGGGUCGGGGGUGAGACCCGAGGAAUUUCACACGAUGCAAACUCGGGCCCUACCUGCUCAGUGGCGAGAAGAGCUGCUAUCAAUCAGGCAUCUUUCACAGGGGUCUAAAAGACAAAACCUGAAUGGGGAUCGAGGGAGUCUCAAAUGACGAAAGUUAUACGCCGAGGGAACAGAACUCGCUCAAGCUGCCGUUCAUCCACGCUUGCCUGCUCAGCAUAUGGGACUUAAGCACAUGCUGAAAUGCUAAGCUGUAUGGAGGAGGACUUAAACACGCAUAAAUGAUUAGCUGAACCGGGACUUGUGACUCUCUUUUGAUAACCCCUCUGCGUGCGGCUCUCCACCUCCUAUGCCUGUAUGGAAAAAAUCUGUCAUUCAGAAGAUCCAUUAUAAUUUAGAAUUUGGCUCCACAAGCCACUUGUUGAAGUUUAUCAACUUUCCCCAAAUAAGACAUGUUGAGUACUGACAGCAUGAAUCAAUUGCCCAUGGAUGGUUUCAUGGACUGACCUAAGCUUGAGGUUAGACUUAGCCUAGGAAAAGUGAGUGGAAAUGGCUCUUCGUAGGCCUGAAGGAAAUCUGGUUGAAAUGAAUGGGAAGACUCGCUAGAGUGGGCUGCGUUAUCUGGCUUCCUAGGAAAAACUCUGUGAAGACCCUUAGAUCAGUGUUACUCAAGAUUUCAGCCCAGCGGGCUGGAUAAGUGGCAUGGGGCCAAUCUGCAGGGCGGAUCUAGCAGUGUGUUAACAUGUGGGUCAGUCUGCAGGUGUGAGCCAGUUUGCAGGCUCGCUUCAGCACACCUGAUCCAGCCCUGGAGCGACUCUGUGCACGGACAUGCAGGGCCGUGUCAUCUGGCCCACAGGGCUUCCCCCCCCCCCCGGGGCCAGAAAUUUGGAAGUAAGGGAGCAGUGAUGGUGUUAAUCACUGUGGCUCUGCAAUUCAUGCUGCCACUGUUUCCCCCCCCCCACCAAAUUUCUGGACCUGUGUGGGAUGAUACAGCCCUGUGGGCCAGAUUCAGCCUGUGGAUGGGAGGCUGAGCACCACCACCGCCUUGGAUGAAAGCAACUGAAGCAAAGUCUAUUAAGGUUUUCAAGCUGUACCCAUUGCCAAAGCAUGUGAAAUGAACCUAAUUGACCAUUAAUAAUUUGUGUCAUUUCAACAAAUACAGGAGGAACACAUUUAUCUCAUGGUAAAUCAAACAAUGCUGCAAUGCAGAGGCUUGUAAUUACACUUCUUCUGUAGAUAUACCUGUAUUUAUAGCAUAAAAAAGAGAGAGCAAAAAGAUUGCUAGUGACCGUAUGAAUGUGGGGCAGCGAGAGUCAGAGAGAGAAGCACACUAUGGAGCCAACUCUGCUCUCCUUUAUGGAAUCAGUGGUGAUUGCGUCCAGGUGACUUAGCAGAGUUUGGCUCAUAAUUAAAAACCAAGUCAGCAAUACCAACAACUUUUACAUUUUUGUCUCACCCUGACCCCCUCCCCUACCAAACUCCAAAUGAAAUCUGUGACCAGCCUGUACCAGGAGCUGCCUGGUUUACCCUCCAUGUAUCUCAGCUCUACAAGUCUGUGGGAAAGUAGCAGAGCUAAAGACCCGUCCAUCUAUUCCCCCUUCUUGUUUGGCCCUUCUCUUCCCCCCCAUAGUUUCAUGGAUGUUAGAGGCUGGAAGGGACCUUACAGAUCAUCGGGUCCAGCCCCCCUGCACGUGAGCAGGAAAGACCCCUGGGAUCAGAUGAUCUCAGCAAGAUGGGCGCCAAGACAAUUUUUGAAGAUUGCCAGGGUGGAUGACUGUACCAGCUCUGCGGGGAGCCUGUUCCAAACCCUCAGCACUCAGCUUGUAAGGAAGUUUUUCCUUAUGUCUACCCUGAAGCAAUCUUCAGUCAGCUUGCGCCCAUUAUUUCUUGUCCUCUCCUGGAGGGCCUUGGUGACUAGAUGCUCCCCCAAACCCUGAUACACACCCCUGAUAUACUUAUAAUCUGCCACCAAGUCCCCCCCCCCGAGCCUUGUCUUCUCCAAGCUGAACAAUCCCAAGUCCCUCCAUCUCUCCUCAUACGUCUUGGUCUCCAAGCCUCUAAUCAUGCAUGGCCCUCCUCUGGACUCUCUUGAGCUUCUCCACAUCCUUCUUGAAGUGCAGCUCCCAGAACUGGACACAGUACUCUAGUUGCGGUCUCACCAAGGCUGAGUAAAGCGGGAGGACGACAUCCUUUGCCUUGCUCAAGAUGCCUUGGUGGAUGCAUGCCAGUGUUUGGUUAUGGUUAGCUCUGCCAGCUACGGCAUCACAUUGGUGGCUCAUGUUCAUUUUGUUGUGAGUCAUGACACCCAGGUCUCAUUCAGCUGCAGUACUGGCAUCAGAGCACCGCUGAGCCUGUAAGUGUGUUGUGGGUUAUUUCUCCCCAGAUGGAGCACUUUCUAUUUCUCUGCAUUAAGCAACAUCAGGUUGAGGUCUGCCCAUUUCACGACCCUGUCCAGCUAGGCCCAUACUGCCAUCCUGUCUUCGAGCAUAGUAACGCUCCCCCAUAGCUUGAUGUUGUCAGCAAACUUUGGCAGAUUGCUUGUUAUACUUGAAUCCAAAUACUUAAUGAACAUGUUGAAGAGCACUUGUCCAAGUACUGACCCCCGAGGGAUGCCACUGGUCACUCUCCACCAUGAAGACUCAGUUUUGUCAGUCAGUACCUUUGAGUCCUACCAUGGAGCUAGGUUUCCUAGCCACCAGACUGUGAAGUGGUCGAAGCCGCAUUUUCCCAAUUUGACCGUGAGGACAUCAUGAGAGACCAGGUCAAAGGCUUUUUUGAAGUCCAAGUAUAUGGCAUCAAGCUCAUUUCCGUUAUCCAGGUGGCAAGCAACCUGACUGUAGAAGAAAACGAGGUUGGUCUGGCAUGACCUGCCCGUGAUGAAGCCAUGUUGGCUAUCCUUCAGGAUACUGCCUUCAGUUAGCCCGUGCGUGAUGGUUUCUUUGAUGAUUUUCUCCAGGAUUUUACCUGGGAUUGAGGUCAGAUGAAUUGGCCUGUAGUUUCCUGGGUCCUCCCUUCUCUCUUUCAUAAAGAUAGGUACUACAGUGGCUUUUUUCUAGUCUUCUAGGACCUCUUUGGGACCCACUUAGGGUGUAAGUUGGUUUGACAGCCUGGUUUGUUACGGGUCCUCUUUUUGACUAUCAAGGUAAGGGAGUCCUAAGAAGGUACCUUAGUACAUCCUUAGUUUCCUGAAUGAGCACACAGGGCAAGUAAAAAAUUAGUAGGAACCCAAAAUAUUGAGAGAUUUUUAGGUCAAUGGAAUUACUCUCGAUUGCUACUAGAGCAAUCAGACGCAGAAUUCAGUGUCCAUCUGUUCUCACCUCUUUAUGCUUGUGUCACUGAAAAAUGAUUGUUGACCCAAUAGACGAAGCUAAGUGCAGCUGAGAGUGGUGAUGACCUGUUUGUCUAAACUGGAGACAAUAGACCGAAGCUGAGAACCAGGCAUGAUGGGCUCAUGAGGAAUCACUACUCAGUCAGGAUGUUAAAACACUUUAUUAUUUUCCACAACUGUAGGUCCCUUCAGCAAUCUCCUUUUCUGUUCAGUCAUAUCUUAAAAAGCAAAGUUCAUGUAUUAGUUUAUACAAUACUAGCUGGUGUCUUGUAUUAAUAGGAUGUGAAAUGUUGCUUUAAAGAAGGGUUUUUAGGCACACAAGACAGGAGGGGUGUGAUCUAAUUAUCCAAGAGCAGACUUAGGAGCUAUUAGCAACCAAAAAAUCAUAGACUGAUGGCUUUCUUGAUGGCCCCAGGCCUGUCACUUAACUUCAUCUUAAAAUAAGUAUAUAAACACACUGAACUAUUUGCCAGGAAGCUGCGAGAACCAAUUAGUUAAUUCUGCAUAGGGUUUUGAAAAGAGAAAAUAGUAGCUAUAGUCAAAUCUAAUUUCCCCAUUAUUAGUAUUGGCAUUAAUCCAAUUGGCCACUUGCACCGAGACGUUGUAAACUGAAGUUAACACUGUCAAAGUUAGUGACUCAGGUACUAAAUAGCAUGGCCUGAUUUUUCAGAGACACAGAGCAUUUGCCACUUCCAUUGGUUUAAAUAUUAAAUACAGACAGAUAAGCUGUAUUAGUAGCUUAUGUGACUAGUAGGAUCCAUGUCAUUGUUUUGAUGAAAUAAAUCAUUUUAUCACCUGCUUUACGAUUACUGUAGGGUUUUGUACCUUUGCUAACUAAGGGUCACGAAGCAAAUAAAGAGAAAGAUCCUUGCCUAUGCCAUCACUGCGGCUCAAUUUCAGCAAUCACAACAGUAAUUGCAUGGCUCCUCCAGAACAAGUAGCCUUUGGAUCGUCUCCAAGAGAAAUCUACUGUUAUCAGUGGCUAGCCACCUGCGGAGGAACCUGCAAAGGCUUAUUGCUAGAUAGCAUUUAUCUUUGAAACAAAAAAUAGUCCAAGAAAUAGAUGCUCAGACAUUUCCAUCAUUAAUUCAGGAUGGUCCAAUUCAGUGAAGAACCUGUAUAAAGGCUCAUAUGUCUUGCCUAUGUCUGUCAUGGGUCUGUCACGUGCGUGAGUAACUGAAGAACGUAAGUUAGUAGAGCCCUAAACAAUAAUUCUUAUCUGUUUCCAAAGACAGGCCAGUGUUUUGGAGCGAUGGUUCAAUCUCGUUUGAAUGGACCAGAGGAAACAACAGUACGAACAGCUACUGACUCAUGUUGCUUGAGCCCCUCCCAUGGAAGUUUCCAUUGACUCCUCAAUGUGAACUAGGAAAUCAUGGUCUCGCUCUUAAUUUGUUCUUGCUAUUAAAGCUUUAGCUACUUUUAUUUACAGUUUCAAAGCUGUCAAACUGAUAAUAGCUAAAGGCUACCUUUUCUUAUAUUCAGAUACAUUGAACCUUAUUGGAAUAUUAAAAAUAUUUAAAUGGCAAAAAUUA
Long non-coding RNA from Alligator mississippiensis (American alligator), 5224 nucleotides. RefSeq lists it as uncharacterized. Lineage: Eukaryota; Metazoa; Chordata; Crocodylia; Alligatoridae. The record is from RefSeq and is a predicted model, not a curated record. The transcript is spliced from 3 exons.